AGCAGCCGCGGUAAUUCCAGCUCCAAUAGCGUAUAUUAAAGUUGUUGCAGUUAAAAAGCUCGUAGUUGAAUUUCGGGAUCAAAUUGUCGGUCGUGCCUCGGUACGCACUGGUAUUAUUGGUUCCUACCUUCUGAAGAACCGCGAUGUCAUUAAUUUGGUGUCGUGGGGAAUCAGGACUGUUACUUUGAAAAAAUUAGAGUGUUUAAAGCAGGCUUACGCUUGAAUACAUUAGCAUGGAAUAAUGAAAUAGGACGUUUGAUUCUAUUUUGUUGGUUUCUAGGAUUGACGUAAUGAUUAAUAGGGAUAGUUGGGGGCAUUAGUAUUCAAUUGUCAGAGGUGAAAUUCUUGGAUUUAUUGAAGACUAACUACUGCGAAAGCAUUUGCCAAGGAUGUUUUCAUUAAUCAAGAACGAAAGUUAGGGGAUCGAAGACGAUCAGAUACCGUCGUAGUCUUAACCAUAAACUAUGCCGACUAGGGAUCGGAUGAUGUUAAUUUUUUAAUGACUCA
RNAcentral lists this ribosomal RNA (507 nucleotides) under uncultured Glomus. RNAcentral's name for it is "SSU rRNA". It matches the Rfam family "Eukaryotic small subunit ribosomal RNA", at positions 569 to 1078 of the family's 1831-position model. The record is from RNAcentral. Lineage: Eukaryota; Fungi; Glomeromycota; Glomeromycetes; Glomerales; Glomeraceae.